RNAcentral lists this transfer RNA (74 nucleotides) under Thermoflexus hugenholtzii. Its description in RNAcentral is "tRNA-Gly". It matches the Rfam family "tRNA". From Rfam's summary of the family: Transfer RNA (tRNA) molecules are approximately 80 nucleotides in length. Their secondary structure includes four short double-helical elements and three loops (D, anti-codon, and T loops). Further hydrogen bonds mediate the characteristic L-shaped molecular structure. tRNAs have two regions of fundamental functional importance: the anti-codon, which is responsible for specific mRNA codon recognition, and the 3' end, to which the tRNAs corresponding amino acid is attached (by aminoacyl-tRNA synthetases). tRNAs cope with the degeneracy of the genetic code in two manners: having more than one tRNA (with a specific anti-codon) for a particular amino acid; and 'wobble' base-pairing, i.e. permitting non-standard base-pairing at the 3rd anti-codon position. Lineage: Bacteria; Bacillati; Chloroflexota; Thermoflexia; Thermoflexales; Thermoflexaceae. RNAcentral also lists the same sequence under 6 other names. The record is from RNAcentral.
GCGGGCGUGGCGUAGUGGCAGCGCGCGACCCUUCCAAGGUUGAGGUGCGGGUUCGAUUCCCGCCGCCCGCUCCA